Molecule: long non-coding RNA, 599 nt
Organism: Anopheles cruzii
Lineage: Eukaryota; Metazoa; Arthropoda; Insecta; Diptera; Culicidae
Exons: 3
Source: RefSeq, a predicted model, not a curated record
CUUUUGUUCGGUUAGGACUUAGUUGAAUUUUCGUGUCGGGGCGAAGCGUCUGCCUCUGUAUUUUCUAAGUGUCAAGUUCUCGUUCAGUGCUUUUCGUUCCAUCAUGUGUGAUCCUGAUUGAAAUAAUACAGUCAGGUGUCUCGUCAGUUAUCUCGUCAGUUUGUGGAAAAGAAAUGCAUCGAAGACCACGCGUGAACAAUCUACGCAGCAAACAAAAACCCGGCUGGACCCACCGACAAUGUGUGUGUACGCGAAACAAUGUGUUCGACGGGAUGCCUCUAUACCGCCACCAACGCAGCAUAGCGCCAGGAAUGCACGAAUAGGUAGGGAAGUGAAACCGUGAAAUAGACGAGUGAGCGAAAGAGACGAAAAAAAAAACCGAAAAUAAACCGAAAAUCGAAACCGAAAACGAACCCCUGCAUUUUUACUUCGGGAACCGACUGGGGAUACGAGAGAAAGAAAGAGGGAGAGGGGACACAUAGAAAAGAGGGAGAGAGACAAGGGGCACGCGCGAGAGAAUUUAAACUGACAGUCGCUCGUUGCGCCAUUUCAAAGUUCGGACAAAGUCGAGAACGAUUUGGCGAAGAAAAUAUACAUAG